UCUCCGUAGGUGAACCUGCGGAGGGAUCAUUAAGAAUUGAACAGCAGUGUCUGGCACUGUUGCCCAUUCUAACCCUUUGUGAACUACAACUCUGUUGCUUCGGGGGCGACCCUGCCGUCCGCGGCUGAGCGCCCCCGGUGGCCAAUUAUUAAACUCUGCAUCUCUUGCGUCGGAGUCUUAAAGAAAUUUAAACAAAACUUUCAACAACGGAUCUCUUGGUUCUGGCAUCGAUGAAGAACGCAGC
RNAcentral lists this unclassified non-coding RNA (244 nucleotides) under uncultured fungus. Its description in RNAcentral is "sequence contains ITS1, 5.8S rRNA gene". The stretch from base 196 to 244 matches the Rfam family "5.8S ribosomal RNA", at positions 1 to 49 of the family's 154-position model. The record is from RNAcentral. Lineage: Eukaryota; Fungi.